RNAcentral lists this small RNA (825 nucleotides) under Pongo abelii (Sumatran orangutan). RNAcentral's name for it is "retained intron". The record is from RNAcentral. Lineage: Eukaryota; Metazoa; Chordata; Mammalia; Primates; Hominidae.
CCCAUAUUAUGGUAUUUGCUUGAUGAAUGGCCACUUGGAGGGCCACUAGGCCUAUGCAUUGUUGAGUGGGAGGGCCCGUGUCCCAUCUCCCCCAUGGCUCCAGGCCUCUCUGAGGAGAGCUGAAGCAGGUGGACUGACUAGUCCCCGCACCCCCCCGCCAUUGGCUUUCCGGGAGACAGGAGGCAGGUCCUCAGUGCCAUACUACUGAGGCUCAGCAGCCAAGUGAGGAAACGAUUAGAAACCCAGACCCCUUGAGCCCUGCCAAGUCCUCACUCCUUGGGAGGUGCUGACAGGAGCCUUGAGGCCAGGCAGGAGCAGCCCAUCUGGCCCAUAUUCUGCCACCACCCCCCACCCUACUCCUCCCCUCCCUCUCCACGCUUGCCAUGUUUUCCUCAGCAGGACAGAUAUUUAAUGGUGACUUUGUGGACCGAGGCUCCUUCUCUGUAGAAGUGAUCCUCACCCUUUUCGGCUUCAAGCUUCUGUACCCAGAUCACUUUCACCUACUUCGAGGCAACCACGAGACAGACAACAUGAACCAGAUCUACGGUUUCGAGGGUGAGGUGAAGGCCAAGUACACAGCCCAGAUGUACGAGCUCUUUAGCGAGGUGUUCGAGUGGCUCCCGUUGGCCCAGUGCAUCAACGGCAAAGUGCUGAUCAUGCACGGAGGCCUGUUCAGUGAAGACGGCGUCACCCUGGAUGACAUCCGGAAAAUUGAGCGGAAUCGACAACCCCCAGAUUCAGGUCCCAUGUGUGACCUGCUCUGGUCAGAUCCACAGCCGCAGAACGGGCGCUCGGUCAGCAAGCGGGGCGUGAGCUGUCAGUUUG